Molecule: ribosomal RNA, 253 nt
Filed under: uncultured bacterium
Lineage: Bacteria
Description: partial 16S ribosomal RNA
Rfam family: Bacterial small subunit ribosomal RNA
Source: RNAcentral
UACAGAGGUGGCGAGCGUUGUUCGGAAUUACUGGGCGUAAAGGGCGCGUAGGCGGUUCGUUAAGUCCUGUGUGAAAUCCCCCGGCUCAACUGGGGAACUGCACAGGAAACUAGCGGGCUUGAGUUCGGGAGAGGGAAGCGGAAUUCCGGGUGUAGCGGUGAAAUGCGUAGAUAUCCGGAGGAACACCGGUGGCGAAGGCGGCUUCCUGGACCGACACUGACGCUGAGGCGCGAAAGCUAGGGGAGCAAACGGG